This 1419-nucleotide ribosomal RNA is filed under the name Bacteroides fragilis. RNAcentral describes it as "16S ribosomal RNA". It matches the Rfam family "Bacterial small subunit ribosomal RNA". Lineage: Bacteria; Pseudomonadati; Bacteroidota; Bacteroidia; Bacteroidales; Bacteroidaceae. The record is from RNAcentral.
AUGAACGCUAGCUACAGGCUUAACACAUGCAAGUCGAGGGGCAUCAGGAAGAAAGCUUGCUUUCUUUGCUGGCGACCGGCGCACGGGUGAGUAACACGUAUCCAACCUGCCCUUUACUCGGGGAUAGCCUUUCGAAAGAAAGAUUAAUACCCGAUAGCAUAAUGAUUCCGCAUGGUUUCAUUAUUAAAGGAUUCCGGUAAAGGAUGGGGAUGCGUUCCAUUAGGUUGUUGGUGAGGUAACGGCCCACCAAGCCUUCGAUGGAUAGGGGUUCUGAGAGGAAGGUCCCCCACAUUGGAACUGAGACACGGUCCAAACUCCUACGGGAGGCAGCAGUGAGGAAUAUUGGUCAAUGGGCGCUAGCCUGAACCAGCCAAGUAGCGUGAAGGAUGAAGGCUCUAUGGGUCGUAAACUUCUUUUAUAUAAGAAUAAAGUGCAGUAUGUAUACUGUUUUGUAUGUAUUAUAUGAAUAAGGAUCGGCUAACUCCGUGCCAGCAGCCGCGGUAAUACGGAGGAUCCGAGCGUUAUCCGGAUUUAUUGGGUUUAAAGGGAGCGUAGGUGGACUGGUAAGUCAGUUGUGAAAGUUUGCGGCUCAACCGUAAAAUUGCAGUUGAUACUGUCAGUCUUGAGUACAGUAGAGGUGGGCGGAAUUCGUGGUGUAGCGGUGAAAUGCUUAGAUAUCACGAAGAACUCCGAUUGCGAAGGCAGCUCACUGGACUGCAACUGACACUGAUGCUCGAAAGUGUGGGUAUCAAACAGGAUUAGAUACCCUGGUAGUCCACACAGUAAACGAUGAAUACUCGCUGUUUGCGAUAUACAGUAAGCGGCCAAGCGAAAGCAUUAAGUAUUCCACCUGGGGAGUACGCCGGCAACGGUGAAACUCAAAGGAAUUGACGGGGGCCCGCACAAGCGGAGGAACAUGUGGUUUAAUUCGAUGAUACGCGAGGAACCUUACCCGGGCUUAAAUUGCAGUGGAAUGAUGUGGAAACAUGUCAGUGAGCAAUCACCGCUGUGAAGGUGCUGCAUGGUUGUCGUCAGCUCGUGCCGUGAGGUGUCGGCUUAAGUGCCAUAACGAGCGCAACCCUUAUCUUUAGUUACUAACAGGUUAUGCUGAGGACUCUAGAGAGACUGCCGUCGUAAGAUGUGAGGAAGGUGGGGAUGACGUCAAAUCAGCACGGCCCUUACGUCCGGGGCUACACACGUGUUACAAUGGGGGGUACAGAAGGCAGCUAGCGGGUGACCGUAUGCUAAUCCCAAAAUCCUCUCUCAGUUCGGAUCGAAGUCUGCAACCCGACUUCGUGAAGCUGGAUUCGCUAGUAAUCGCGCAUCAGCCACGGCGCGGUGAAUACGUUCCCGGGCCUUGUACACACCGCCCGUCAAGCCAUGGGAGCCGGGGGUACCUGAAGUACGUAACCGCAAGGA